AUGCGGCUCAUUCCCACCUCUGAUCCUUUGCAUGUAAUGUUUGCUCGGCGUGGAACUCUCCUCCUCUCCCCGUGUCUUCCCAAGUCUAGCAGGUCUGGAUCCUUGGAGAUCAGCUUGCCCUGGCCCCAUCCAUGCUCACUAAAGCCCCAAAGCAAAACCCCCAGGGCUCUCUCUCACAAUACCCAGUUUUGUCCUCUCAGCAGUGGGGCCCCGCUCCAAGAUGCUCAACAGGUGUUUAUUCUUUGGAUAGAAAAAAUUACAGGACAAGUAGGGACAAUGUGCCUGCUUGAUCCAAACUCCAAGGAAGGCUCAGUGCCAUCAUCCAGCCCCCCAAACUGGGGCCCAAGUGUAGGGUGAUGUUCAGUGAAUCCUGACUUUUCUUUGUUCUCCUUGUUUCUCCCAGCAAGGGUUGGUCCUGAAGCUGAGCUCGUGAGCCCUCCCUCCCCUGCACUUCCCACGGUGCUCUGUGCCAGCAGCCAGGACAGCUGCCCCACUCCCAGCCAGGGUGGGCACAAGGCCUAAACACCUCCCUUCAGUCAAGACCCUUCCACAGAUCCUGCCUGCUCCAUCCUCUGUGCCAUUGCAGACCAGACUCGCUCCUUCCUUUCCCUCUCCUUGCCUGUCCUCAUCUUGACCGCCUCCCUGCCAGGUGCCCGAGGCUUCUCUCUGCACACACGUGCCCUGCUUAUGUUUCCUCCAGGCACCCUGCCUGGCCACCUGUGUUCUGGCUGAUUCUUUUGCCUCAGUACCCUUCUCCAUCUCUCUGACUGGUGCCUGCCACCUCUCAGUGCAACCCCUUUCCAGAAAAUUCUUUGAACUGCCAGGGAAACACAGCCCUAAUGGGGUUGGGAGUCCCUUUUCUCUCCUGAGGUCUCUCCACCCACUAGAUGCUGCAGCAACUCUUCCUGCACUGGAAGGGGCUCACUGCCACCCUCCCCCCGACUAGACGUGAGCAUCUUGAGAUCAGAAAUGAUGUCGCUUGUCUUUGCCAUCACUGCACCUGCGUGCCUGGCACACAGCAGCUGCCCAAUAGAUGCUUUUCUGAAUGAUAGAUGUAUGCAUACAAGUAUGCCAGCGAAUGAUCUGGAAGCAGGAGCUGUGUCAGGUGUCCCCAGUGCCCCCAGUGCCCCAGAGAGUCUG
Molecule: long non-coding RNA, 1140 nt
Filed under: Capra hircus (goat)
Lineage: Eukaryota; Metazoa; Chordata; Mammalia; Artiodactyla; Bovidae
Description: lncRNA (ENSCHIG00010031861.1)
Source: RNAcentral